This 253-nucleotide ribosomal RNA is filed under the name uncultured bacterium. Its description in RNAcentral is "partial 16S ribosomal RNA". It matches the Rfam family "Bacterial small subunit ribosomal RNA", at positions 524 to 776 of the family's 1533-position model. The record is from RNAcentral.
UACAGAGGUCUCAAGCGUUGUUCGGAUUCAUUGGGCGUAAAGGGUGCGUAGGCGGCGCGGUAAGUCGGGUGUGAAAGCUCGGAGCUUAACUCCGAAACUGCAUUCGAUACUGCCGUGCUUGAGGACUGGAGAGGAGACUGGAAUUUACGGUGUAGCGGUGAAAUGCGUAGAUAUUCGCAAGAACACCAGUGGCGAAGGCGGCUCACUGGCCCGGUACUGACGCUGAGGUGCGAAAGCGUGGGGAGCAAACAGG